Molecule: transfer RNA, 72 nt
Filed under: Brenneria bubanii
Lineage: Bacteria; Pseudomonadati; Pseudomonadota; Gammaproteobacteria; Enterobacterales; Pectobacteriaceae
Description: tRNA-Asn
Rfam family: tRNA
About the family: Transfer RNA (tRNA) molecules are approximately 80 nucleotides in length. Their secondary structure includes four short double-helical elements and three loops (D, anti-codon, and T loops).
Source: RNAcentral
GUCUUUAUAGCUUAGUGGUUAAAGCAUCUCACUGUUAAUGAGAACAGAUAGCGUCGAUUCCUAUUAAGGACU